AUUGAACGCUGGCGGCAGGCCUAACACAUGCAAGUCGAACGAGUCGCGCACGGGUGUGAUAUGUCUGGGACUCUCCCUGAUGGAGGGGUAUAACCACUGAACACUAUAUCUAACACCACAUACCAUCAUAUGUGCCCAGAUGGGAUUAGCUUGUUGGUGGGGUAACGGCGCACAAAGGCGACGCUCCCUAGCUGGUCUGAGAGGAUGACCAGCCACACUGGAACUGAGACACGGUCCAGACUCCUACGGGAGGCAGCAGUGGGGAAUAUUGCACAAUGGGCGCAAGCCUGAUGCAGCCAUGCCGCGUGUAUGAAGAAGGCCUUCGGGUUGUAAAGUACUUUCAGCGGGGAGGCGUUACCCGCAGAAGAAGCACCGGCUAACUCCGUGCCAGCAGCCGCGGUAAUUC
Molecule: ribosomal RNA, 406 nt
Filed under: uncultured bacterium
Lineage: Bacteria
Description: partial 16S ribosomal RNA
Rfam family: Bacterial small subunit ribosomal RNA
Source: RNAcentral